RNAcentral lists this ribosomal RNA (253 nucleotides) under uncultured bacterium. RNAcentral describes it as "partial small subunit ribosomal RNA". It matches the Rfam family "Bacterial small subunit ribosomal RNA", at positions 26 to 285 of the family's 1533-position model. The record is from RNAcentral.
AGGACGAACGCUGGCGGCGUGCUUAACACAUGCAAGUCGAGCGGAAAGGCCCUUCGGGGUACUCGAGCGGCGAACGGGUGAGUAACACGUGAGCAACCUGCCCCUGGCUCUGGGAUAGCUCCGGGAAACCGGGAUUAAUACCGGAUGUGACCUUCUCCUGCAUGGGAGUUGGUGGAAAGUUUUUCGGCUGGGGAUGGGCUCGCGGCCUAUCAGCUUGUUGGUGGGGUGAUGGCCUACCAGGCGACGACGGGUA